Arabidopsis lyrata subsp. lyrata is the source of this 650-nucleotide long non-coding RNA. RefSeq lists it as uncharacterized. The record is from RefSeq and is a predicted model, not a curated record. Lineage: Eukaryota; Viridiplantae; Streptophyta; Magnoliopsida; Brassicales; Brassicaceae. The transcript has 2 exons.
UGGACGCAAAAACAAAAAGGAAAUAUCCUUUCGAGCACGUGACAGUCACGUGAUGACAGGUCAAUUUCCCUUUUGUCUCCUCAUUCGCUUCGCCGACGUAUUUGUCUCCUUCCGUCUAGUCUAGCUCUCCGAUCAUGUGGGUGACGAAUACCGUACUUCUACAUCAACCCAAUGCUCUGACCCGAUUAAACUUUUUCUCUUCGCUAAUGUUUCCAUCUAGCUUAUUGUUGGACAAAUCAAGACUCCCCAAAUCCUUCAGCUUCGAAAUGCUAUCUGGUAUGGAGCCAGUGAGGUAGUUGCUUGACAAAUUCAACGAUACGAUAUUUUGAAGGUUUCCAAUCUCAACUGGAAUCUCACCAGAUAAUUGGUUGCUUGACAAAUCCAACCCAUACAUGUAACGCAGAAUAUCACCUUGAUAUGCUUCAUAUCUUCUUUUCGUUAGAAAAUCCACUAUGAUUGCUGGUGUCCGUUGAGCACCAUACGCGAAAUCAUCAUCGAGGUUGAUAGCUGAUGUAUAACUCCAACUUUGCGAGAAUGAAACUUGUGAGAAGCCUUCCACUGGAUCAAAUGACAUGUUGCUGUCAUACUUUUUUGCACCAAAAGACAUUUUACUGAAACAUGAUGGUAUAACACCUUUGAAUUUAUUCUGA